This is a long non-coding RNA of Galeopterus variegatus (Sunda flying lemur), 1242 nucleotides long. RefSeq lists it as uncharacterized. The transcript is spliced from 2 exons. The record is from RefSeq and is a predicted model, not a curated record. NCBI's taxonomy places the organism in Eukaryota, Metazoa, Chordata, Mammalia, Dermoptera, Cynocephalidae.
UCUGUCUUUCUCCAUACAGCUGAUACCUAUGUGGUUGCCAAUGAUUCAGUCAAAUAUCAAGCACUUGUCUGCGGGCCUCCAGCUUCGCCUCCAGGCCAUUCAGAACAACGUGAACCACCACAGCCUAAGGACGCCACCGGGCUCAGGCUCGGGCCAGAGCAGUGCCGGCCUGGUGGCCCUCCGCAAGUGGCUGCAGUGCACCCAGUUCAAAAUGGCCCAGGUGGAGAUCCAGUCCUCAGAAGCAGCCUCUCAAUUUUAUCCUCUAUGAGCGGACUCCUCGGCUCUCAGUGUCAACACUCUGGUUUAGCAAUAAUGGGUUUAAAAACAAAACAAUUUGAUCCAAGCAGUUGGGGAACAUAUUGGUACUGUACAUUCUCUUUCUAGUUUAGUAAAAGACGUGCAAAGGCCAGAGAGGGCCACAAACGAAGCUUUCUUGCUACACACAUUUCUGAUGACUCCUUGGGCUAUCUGAUUAAGUGUUUCCUUACAUUAUUUUUUAAAAACCAAAUCAUUUUUCUUUAACUAACUUCUAUUUUUUUUAAGAAAAAAAAAAUAGACUGGUGGGUACUCACAGAAAAGUUGUAUAAGUCCCCCUGUUGCUAUUUUUGAUGAUAGAGAAUAAAUAGGGUUUUUGAAACCUUUGUAGUGUUUUUUCUUAAAAUCCACUCUUGGCAAUGCAAUAAAAAACCCGUCACCAUAAGGCAGUGACACCUGACUGGAGCUUUUUGUCAUUACCCUGGGAAAAGUGGCAGCUUGCAAGGAACAUUACAAAGUGCACUUAGAAAUUAGGUGGUUAAACUGUGCCAACUGUUUCCUUUGUUUUAUAAUAUCAUUUUCCAAAACUGUCCAGUAAGUCUUAUUAUUUUUAAAACUAGUUUUUCAACUCAUGAGUUCUAGGCUGUACUUUCUUGUAAGCUUUAUGAUAACCACUUUAGUUUUGUGAAUAAUAAAUUUUAUUCUUUUGUUAAUACUUGUAUACAACUCAAUUUAAAACUGUAGAUUGCAUACUGGACCAGGCGAGUCCCCGCGCUGGCACAGAGCACUGCACCUGGAGUUAUGUUUCAUACAACGGAAUUUUAAUAGUGUGAGAGCACCAAGAUUUAUCAGCACUUAUACGUAGCAUUUGACUGUGCAUUCCAAAUGAAAUUUCUUUUCUUUAUCCCUGUAAUGCACUGACUAAAAGAAGACUUAAUACACAUUUAAGCUGUAUAUUGACAUGCUAUUAAAUGCAUUUUUUUUUAU